This is a non-coding RNA of Anas platyrhynchos (mallard), 687 nucleotides long. The record is from RefSeq and is a predicted model, not a curated record. NCBI's taxonomy places the organism in Eukaryota, Metazoa, Chordata, Aves, Anseriformes, Anatidae.
AGGAGAGGCGCCCCCACCAUUUGGUGGCUCCUGUCCGGAACCAAUGCCAUCUUGAACCUGAAUAAAGGUAAGCAAAGAUUUUGAUUUUGUUAUGAGCUCCCUUGCCGGCUGCAGCAUUGUUUUUGCCCGUAAUUCUGCGCGCGAAGAUCCGAACGAAGACGACGGAGUCGUAAGCAUUUAAGGCGUGUACCGUUCGGUUGGGUGGGAUUCGGUUGCCUGUGUGUGUGUAAGAGUGUGACUGAGACGGAACGUAGUUCCGAAGCGAGUGCGGAGGUCUUCUAACCGAUAAGCAAAUACUGGGACGUUUGCAUGCACAAACACAUUGGGGUACAAAGGUGUUAAGUGAUCAUUUACUAAAACAAUUUGGUUGCAUUGUUUGUUUUUGAAAUAGCAAAGCAAAUUACACCACGUUGCUUAACUUGUCAGAAGAUAAAUAAGAAAGUGUUUUGACAAGCAGCCGCGGGAGGGAGAAAAACAGCUUAUAGGCCUUUCGAGAGGGUACAAGUUGGUUUCACUGAAUUGCCCCAGGAGCUGGAUCACCCCGACAGGCUGAACUGAAUGGUAACACAAGCCCCAAUCGACCCUGAAAGCGGGCCCAACCCCUUGAUUGAAGGCGUCUUGCCUAUUAUGAUCUGUGAGGAAUGUUUUAACAAUUCGUGUCAAUGGAGAGCUUGAAGGAAAAUGUAU